RNAcentral lists this ribosomal RNA (311 nucleotides) under bacterium 60(2010). RNAcentral describes it as "bacterial SSU rRNA". It matches the Rfam family "Bacterial small subunit ribosomal RNA", at positions 202 to 505 of the family's 1533-position model. The record is from RNAcentral.
ACCUUCGGGCCUCACACCAUCGGAUGUGCCCAGAUGGGAUUAGCUAGUAGGUGAGGUAAUGGCUCACCUAGGCGACGAUCCCUAGCUGGUCUGAGAGGAUGACCAGCCACACUGGAACUGAGACACGGUCCAGACUCCUACGGGAGGCAGCAGUGGGGAAUAUUGCACAAUGGGCGCAAGCCUGAUGCAGCCAUGCCGCGUGUGUGAAGAAGGCCUUCGGGUUGUAAAGCACUUUCAGCGAGGAGGAAGGGUUCAGUGUUAAUAGCACNGUUCAUUGACGUUACUCGCAGAAGAAGCACCGGCUAACUCCG